UAUAUGGAAAAAAGGUUUUGAUAAUGUACAAGCUUACUAGAAGAGUAACACUUAUAAACACUCCUGAACACACGUGUUGUGUGUGUUUGCAGUGUG
Long non-coding RNA from Etheostoma spectabile (orangethroat darter), 96 nucleotides. RefSeq lists it as uncharacterized. The transcript has 3 exons. The record is from RefSeq and is a predicted model, not a curated record. Lineage: Eukaryota; Metazoa; Chordata; Actinopteri; Perciformes; Percidae.